UUUCUUCAUAUUUUAUCGGAGUAAUUGAUUAACUUACUUUCAAUUUGAUGAUUUCAACUUUAUUUUGGAAGAAUUGAUAUCACCGACAAUUAAUCGCAACUUGAAUUUAACUUGUUGACAUACAUCUUGAUCAAAUUAACUUGCUGCCAUUUGCAAUUGCCUUUAGUUUUUUUAAUUAGUUUGUUUAAUUGGCUAUUACAGCAGGUAUACUUAAUUACGGAAUAGUUUGUUUGGGGAGGAUUGUGACUUACUUCUUUAAUUGGAAGCUCUCUUAUGUAGUUAAUUACUUAAUUUGUCUAAUUCCUUGACUUUUGAUUUUUAGAAAUAUGUCAAGCUCUACUUCAAGCUCUAAGAAAAAGAGGACGACAAAUACUGCAAGUGCUUGAUCAGAUAAACAACUGAUCAUCGCUUCAUUUCUCGUGAAAUGAACAACUGAUCGCUUCAUUUCUCAUUGUUCAUAUUGUUAGUUUAUCAGAUUAUUCACACACCAUUGACCGAAAGUCCCAAAACUGAUUUAUCUUCCCCAUCAAAAUUUUCAAGCAACAACAUUAUUCUAGUUAUUUUUUGAUUUAUAUGCAUACAUUACUUCUGAUUUUCUCCUUUCUCCCUCUUAUGUGUUCUAGUUUAGAUCUGGAAUUUUGAAAUUUGCGGAAUUUCUAUCUAUCACCAUAAGAUCUCUCCUUUAUCUCUUACCUCAAUUGUUGUUUGUUAUUUACGGGUAGUGUAUAACCAACAAGUUCCAGAUCUAGCCACCGGCGGAAGUGCCGGUAGCAGUACCUCAAAAACCAGACGUAACACGAGCACCGCUGCUUCCGCGUAGACGAGGUCGUACAAGAAGUCGUUGAUACAAAGGUGCAACUGCUUUCCUGAUGGCCCGUUGGGAUUAAGAUCUGCAAUUUGAAAUCGCGUGCUAUGCUCAUUAAGAUCUGCAAUUCGACAAUUUUAGCAUUGCAAUUGAUGAUUGCAGGUCACAACUCAAAGGAAAUAAUAUGUUUUGUUUGUGAUUAUGUUGAAAUAUCAUCUUAUUGUUGCUUCUUUGUUUUUCCAUCCUUCAAAUUAAUUUCAUUUUGAACUACUGGAAUACUUGUAUUGAUUAUUGUCAGAUGAAUGAAUUUACUUUUCCAUUUUA
This is a long non-coding RNA of Spinacia oleracea (spinach), 1129 nucleotides long. RefSeq lists it as uncharacterized. The record is from RefSeq and is a predicted model, not a curated record. The transcript has 2 exons. Lineage: Eukaryota; Viridiplantae; Streptophyta; Magnoliopsida; Caryophyllales; Amaranthaceae.